AGUGAACGCUGGCGGUAGGCCUAACACAUGCAAGUCGAACGGCAGCACAGUAAGAGCUUGCUCUUACGGGUGGCGAGUGGCGGACGGGUGAGGAAUACAUCGGAAUCUACUUUUUCGUGGGGGAUAACGUAGGGAAACUUACGCUAAUACCGCAUACGACCUACGGGUGAAAGCAGGGGAUCUUCGGACCUUGCGCGAGUGAAUGAGCCGAUGUCGGAUUAGCUAGUUGGCGGGGUAAAGGCCCACCAAGGCGACGAUCCGUAGCUGGUCUGAGAGGAUGAUCAGCCACACUGGAACUGAGACACGGUCCGGACUCCUACGGGAGGCAGCAGUGGGGAAUAUUGGACAAUGGGCGCAAGCCUGAUCCAGCCAUACCGCGUGGGUGAAGAAGGCCUUCGGGUUGUAAAGCCCUUUUGUUGGGAAAGAAAAGCAGCAGGUUAAUCCCCCGCUGUUCUGACGGUACCCAAAGAAUAAGCACCGGCUAACUUCGUG
This 492-nucleotide ribosomal RNA is filed under the name uncultured bacterium. Its description in RNAcentral is "partial 16S ribosomal RNA". It matches the Rfam family "Bacterial small subunit ribosomal RNA", at positions 29 to 507 of the family's 1533-position model. The record is from RNAcentral.